RNAcentral lists this long non-coding RNA (1442 nucleotides) under Mus musculus (house mouse). RNAcentral's name for it is "long non-coding RNA chr6:149339214-149340656". Lineage: Eukaryota; Metazoa; Chordata; Mammalia; Rodentia; Muridae. The record is from RNAcentral.
GUUCUGGCUUUAGAGUCAAGGAUAGAAGAAAGGGGUUAAGAAAUCUCUCUUCAUGACUAAGAAAAGCUGCUGAGAUGUCCCUGCAUGGAGGCCUACAGAAGCCAUCAUGUAAAACUGAAGGCGAAGCCUAGAUUGUGUUAGAGACAAGAUGUUGGAGAUGCCAGAGCCAACGUCUACCUGAAGAGGAAAACUGCUAACUGGCCCAAGAGAAGUGUGAUGCAGUCAACAAGGCUGAAAGGAAUUGGAGAUCUGAAGAGUGUUUUGACAUCCAACAUGGAGAUGCAGAGUUUGCCUAAUUGGUUUUGGGACUUGUUUCAGUCUGGUAUUUCCUUACUGUGCUUUUUUUUUUUUUAUGAUUUUUCGAGACAGGGUUUCUCUUUAUAGCCCUAGCUGUCCUGGAACUCACUUUGUAGACCAGGCUGGCCUCGAACUCAGAAAUCUACCUGCCUCUGCCUCCUGAGUGCUGGGAUUAAAGUUGUGUGCCACCAUACCCAGCCUCUUUAUGCUUUCUUUUUUCCCUUUUGGAAGGGUAAUAUAUAUUCUAUGCUGUUGUAUGUUGGAAGUAUGUGAUCUGCUUUAGUUUGAUUUUACAGGGGUUACAGUUAAGAGAUUGCUACAAGUCUCUGAAGAAACUUGGACUUUUAAACAAGGUUGAAACUGUUAAAGACUAUGGGUCUUUUGAAGUACUAAAUGCAUUUUGCAUUAUGAUAUGGCUUUAAUUUUGACAGCUAGGGAGUGGAAUGCCAUUGUUUGAGUGAAAAUGGCCCCAUAGACUCAUAGGGAGUGGCAUUAUUGGAGGUUUAACCUUGUUGGUAUGGGUGUGGCCUUGUUGGAAGAAGUGUGUCACAGGGUGGGCUUUGAGGUUUUAGAAGCUCAAGCCAGACUCAGUGUCACUCGCUUUCUGCUACCUACUGAUUUAAAUGUAGAACUUGCCGGUGGUGGCAUACACCUUUAAUCCCAGCACUUGGGAGUCCGAGGCCAGCCUGGUGAAUUCCAGGACAGCCAGGGCUACACAGAGGAAACCCUGUCUCGAAACACCCCCGCCCCAAAAAAAGAUAAAUGUAGAACUUUCAGAUACCUCUCCAGAAUUAUGUCUGCUUGCAUGAUACCAUGCUCCCCUCCUUGAUGAUAAUGACAUCUAAAUGAAGGGCAGAAAAUGUGAUGAAUCAAAGAUUUGAUAGCACGAGUCAAAGAUAGGAUACGCCCAGCUCACAUGAGACCAGCAGAGGAAGAUAGGCUACUUAGCAUUGAGAGAGAAAAAGCAUGUGGCAGUGUGGUUUGUGUGUAUGGCAGUUUUACUGGGACAGUUUUACAGAGAGAGGUGAAGACAAAUGAGCCAAAGAAUGAGAAAGCCAGAAGAUUAGAACAUUAUUGCCAAAGUCAGUAUGAGGCCAGGCAGAGCAAUUCAGUCAGAAGCAGAGAGAAACUGGGUUGUGUAAUUG